AUGGUUGUCGUCAGCUCGUGUCGUGAGAUGUUGGGUUAAGUCCCGCAACGAGCGCAACCCCUAUCCUUAGUUGCCAGCAUUCAGUUGGGCACUCUAGGGAGACUGCCGGUGACAAACCGGAGGAAGGUGGGGAUGACGUCAAAUCAUCAUGCCCCUUAUGAGUUGGGCUACACACGUGCUACAAUGGACGGUACAAAGGGCAGCGAGACCGCGAGGUGGAGCCAAUCCCAUAAAGCCGUUCCCAGUUCGGAUUGCAGGCUGCAACUCGCCUGCAUGAAGUCGGAAUCGCUAGUAAUCGCAGGUCAGCAUACUGCGGUGAAUACGUUCCCGGGUCUUGUACACACCGCCCGUCACACCACGAGAGUUUGCAACACCCGAAGCCGGUGAGUAAC
This 392-nucleotide ribosomal RNA is filed under the name uncultured Exiguobacterium sp. RNAcentral describes it as "bacterial SSU rRNA". It matches the Rfam family "Bacterial small subunit ribosomal RNA", at positions 1045 to 1439 of the family's 1533-position model. Lineage: Bacteria; Bacillati; Bacillota; Bacilli; Caryophanales. The record is from RNAcentral.